This 316-nucleotide ribosomal RNA is filed under the name uncultured bacterium. RNAcentral describes it as "bacterial SSU rRNA". It matches the Rfam family "Bacterial small subunit ribosomal RNA", at positions 28 to 351 of the family's 1533-position model. The record is from RNAcentral.
GAUGAACGCUGGCGGCGUGCUUAACACAUGCAAGUCGAACGAACCGGUUUUCGGAUCGGUUAGUGGCAGACGGGUGCGUAACACGUAGGUGACUUGCCCUGGAGUGGGGAAUAACUAUCCUAACGGAUGGCUAAUACCGCAUAUGCUCGGUGGUUCGUUCCAUUGAGUAAAGCCGAAAGGCGCUUCAGGAUGGGCCUGCGGCGGAUUAGGUAGUUGGUGGGGUAAUGGCCUACCAAGCCGAUGAUCCGUAGGGGGCGUGAGAGCGUGACCCCCCACACUGGCACUGAGAUACGGGCCAGACUCCUACGGGUGGCAG